GGGCAGCACGAUGUAGCAUACAUUGGUGGCGACCGGCGCACGGGUGAGUAACGCGUAUGCAACCUACCUAUCAGAGGGGAAUAACCCGGCGAAAGUCGGACUAAUACCGCAUAAAACAGGGGUUCCACAUGGAAAUAUUUGUUAAAGAAUUAUCGCUGAUAGAUGGGCAUGCGUUCCAUUAGAUAGUUGGUGAGGUAACGGCUCACCAAGUCCACGAUGGAUAGGGGUUCUGAGAGGAAGGUCCCCCACACUGGUACUGAGACACGGACCAGACUCCUACGGGAGGCAGCAGUGAGGAAUAUUGGUCAAUGGGCGAGAGCCUGAACCAGCCAAGUCGCGUGAAGGAUGAAGGAUCUAUGGUUUGUAAACUUCUUUUAUAUGGGAAUAAAGUGAGGAACGUGUUCCUUUUUGUAUGUACCAUAUGAAUAAGCAUCGGCUAACUCCGUGCCAGCAGCCGCGGUAAUACGGAGGAUGCGAGCGUUAUCCGGAUUUAUUGGGUUUAAAGGGUGCGUAGGUGGUUAAUUAAGUCAGCGGUGAAAGUUUGUGGCUCAACCAUAAAAUUGCCGUUGAAACUGGUUGACUUGAGUAUAUUUGAGGUAGGCGGAAUGCGUGGUGUAGCGGUGAAAUGCAUAGAUAUCACGCAGAACUCCGAUUGCGAAGGCAGCUUACUAAACUAUAACUGACACUGAAGCACGAAAGCGUGGGGAUCAAACAGGAUUAGAUACCCUGG
RNAcentral lists this ribosomal RNA (730 nucleotides) under uncultured bacterium. Its description in RNAcentral is "bacterial SSU rRNA". It matches the Rfam family "Bacterial small subunit ribosomal RNA", at positions 66 to 790 of the family's 1533-position model. The record is from RNAcentral.